Long non-coding RNA from Hipposideros armiger (great roundleaf bat), 929 nucleotides. RefSeq lists it as uncharacterized. The transcript is spliced from 3 exons. The record is from RefSeq and is a predicted model, not a curated record. Lineage: Eukaryota; Metazoa; Chordata; Mammalia; Chiroptera; Hipposideridae.
CAUCUGAGUUCAUGGGAGGGUAUUCAGGCGUCUUUCCAAUGGGUGGUUAUCACAGACCCCGUGACGGUUUUUCUUUAAGUUUUCAGAGGUACAUGGAGUUCAUGGCACUCCACCCAGCAAACAGUCCACUGGUCUAAGAGCUUCCUGUCCCUAGAGGAAGGACUAUGACCCUGACGCUCUAUGGACUGAAGAAAUCUCAUCUUUAGCCAGGGUUCACGCAAAAGAUCUUGUCUAGACAGAUGCACAGCAGCAAUAGUCUAGAACUCAGCUCUGCCACUUCUCAGCUGUGUAACUUGAGGUCGUUACCCAGCUCCUUAUCUGUAAAUUGGGAGGAUUAACAGUACCUAAUUCUUAGAGUCCUUCUGGAGAUGGACCAAUUUAUUGAAAGCACAGAGCCAGGCGCACAGGAUUUCUCAUUAACUGGUAGCAGUUGGUUAUUAUUUUUAGCUACGUGGGGCAGGAGAGGCCACCCAGCCCAUCUGGCUAUGAGGCUCUUUAGCCCCCAUGACGCCCUGAACUCUCCAAAGCAUCUGAGGGACUUGGCCACUUUCCCCUGGAUGUCUGUGCGCUGGCCUGUGAGAUGAAGCCGCCUUCCCGACCACCUGUCUGGCACACAUCUGGGCUACACUGAUGGCAGACAGGGCUAUAUAAAGCAGCAGUUACCUCUUAACUGUGGGUUCUCGUGGACACAAUUGAUCUCUUGAAUACGCAUGGACUUGGGCUCCUGUAAACACCUGACUUCCCACAGUAAAUCUAUGCAAGUUCUCCAAAAUCUUCCACCGGCGUCCUAAAUUCAGCUCCUGCAACCCUGCUGCCAACGGAGCGAAAGAGUCAAAGAGGCCGCGUGCAUGAGGACUGUGCUGGUUUUCCGAUUCAAAGCUGGAGACUUUGUAGCAUCAGCACCGGUGGUGAAAAAUAGAGAUGGAAAU